RNAcentral lists this ribosomal RNA (490 nucleotides) under uncultured bacterium. Its description in RNAcentral is "partial 16S ribosomal RNA". It matches the Rfam family "Bacterial small subunit ribosomal RNA", at positions 30 to 507 of the family's 1533-position model. The record is from RNAcentral.
AUUGAACGCUGGCGGCGGGCCUAACACAUGCAAGUCGAACGGUAACAGGAAGAAGCUUGCUUCUUUGCUGACGAGUGGCGGACGGGUGAGUAAUGUCUGGGAAACUGCCUGAUGGAGGGGGAUAACUACUGGAAACGGUAGCUAAUACCGCAUAACGUCGCAAGACCAAAAAGGGGGACCUUCGGGCCUCUUGCCAUCGGAUGUGCCCAGAUGGGAUUAGCUAGUAGGUGGGGUAACGGCUCACCUAGGCGACGAUCCCUAGCUGGUCUGAGAGGAUGACCAGCCACACUGGAACUGAGACACGGUCCAGACUCCUACGGGAGGCAGCAGUGGGGAAUAUUGCACAAUGGGCGCAAGCCUGAUGCAGCCAUGCCGCGUGUAUGAAGAAGGCCUUCGGGUUGUAAAGUACUUUCAGCGGGGAGGAAGGGAGUAAAGUUAAUACCUUUGCUCAUUGACGUUACCCGCAGAAGAAGCACCGGCUAACUCAGUG